RNAcentral lists this unclassified non-coding RNA (2337 nucleotides) under Hevea brasiliensis (rubber tree). Lineage: Eukaryota; Viridiplantae; Streptophyta; Magnoliopsida; Malpighiales; Euphorbiaceae. The record is from RNAcentral.
AAAGAAUUGCAUUAUGUAAGUGAGUUCUCUUUUAUUUGGAAGAAAGUGAAAUGAAGUUAUCUGUAGACCACAUCCUUAUGUACAACCUUGAGAAUUGAUGAUAUAAUUCAAAUCCCAAAAAAACUUAGCACAUCAUGGAUUGUUUUUUCUGGUUUUUCUUUUCCUUUGCCAUAUUAGUUAAUAGUUAUUUAGGUUCGUCCAUGGACGGACCUUCAAUUAAUGUGACGAAGCAUAUCUCUUUUCGAGAUUUCAGUUCUAUUAAUCCGAGAUUGAAGCAAGAUCUUACACUUGUUGGUAGUGUUAUCGUCUCGGAUGAAAAAAAAUCCGUUCAAAUUCCUGAUCCUGAGCGAGAAGGUGAUGAUCUAAAGCAUCUAGUAGGACGAGCUAUAUAUUCUUCACCUAUCCGUUUGUUUGAUCCUCAGACUCAAACACCGGCUUCUUUUGAAACGACUUUCUCGUUUCAAUUUGAAGUGAAGUCCUAUUCAGGCAAUGAGGCGUCAGAUCAGGGGAAAUAUGUAGGUGGUAGUGGUCUUACUUUUAUAAUCGUCCCGGAUGAAUUAACUGUUGGCCGUGCUGGUCCGUGGCUUGGGAUGCUGAACGAUUUGUGCGAUGAGGAUUAUAAAACAGUAGCUAUUGAGUUUGAUACACGGAAGAACCCUGAAUUUGGUGACCCAAAUGAUAAUCACUUGGGCAUUAAUUUGGGUAGCAUAGUUUCAACUGCAGCGAUUAAUGCUUCUGACGCUGGAGUUCAAUUGAAUGACGGAUCAGUUCACAGAGUUUGGAUAUCUUACGAUGGGCGAAAGCGAUUUGUUGAAAUUCGUCUUGCACCUGAUGGCAGAGGAUAUCCUUCUAAACCAGUUUACUCUGGUUUACUUGAUCUUUCACCUUACUUGAAUGAGUAUAUGUUUGUUGGAUUUUCAGCUGCUACUGGAAACCAUACACAAAUCCACAACAUUUUGUCAUGGAAUUUCACCUCAAUUAGUCAAGCUUCGCUUCGAAUUCCUUCAACAGAGACAUGCCAGAACAAAAUCAUGCUUCAAAAUAGCACACAAUCUGAAAAUGAUCAUCGGAAAACGCCUAAUAGUUUCUUUAUUUUCCUUGCUGUUGUCAUUCUUCUGGUAAUCGUUCUUAUUAACCUCUAUUUCAGUAGCUACAAGCGAGAUAGCAAUUCUGACGAAGCAUUCCCUCUGCCUGAGAAAAAGCAGAGACCACGGCCACCAAACAAGGCACGCCGCUUCACAAUAGCUGAGAUCUCCAUCGCAACAAGGAAUUUCAGCGAGUUACAAAUAUUAGGCAGUGAUGAGAAGAGCAUUACGUAUAAGGCCACGAUACUAAACGGGUGCAACGUUGUUGUAAAACGAUUUUUAACUCAAUUUUUCAACACACACGGGUUUGAAAAGCGUCAAUUUCACAAGGAAAUCAAGGCUAUCACCAGAAUUCGUCACCCGAAUUUGGUCCCGAUUAGAGGUUGGUGCUAUGACAACCAAGAAACAAUAGUUGUGUACGAUUUCAUCCCAAAUGGAAGCCUCGAUAAGUGGCUGUUUGGCGUUGGCGUCUUGCCUUGGACGAGGCGUUUUAAGGUCCUUAAAGAUUUAGCAGAUUCUCUUGUCUACCUUCAUUCAAAGCAACUCGCUCACAAAAACGUUAAAAGUAGCAGUGUGUUUCUUGACGUGAGCUUCAGAGCAGUAGUUGGUGAUUUCGGGUUUGUGCUUACUUCAGCCGGGUCAACCCGGUUUGAGGCCAUGGUGAGUCAGACAGCUGAUGUGUUCGAGUUCGGAGUAGUCGUGCUUGAGAUCAUUGCGGGUCGGAGCAGGAAGUCCAACCCGGGAGAACGGGACUUAUUGGAUCUUGCAUGGGCAAUGCAUGAGGUACAACAGAAGGAAACUCUAGUGGAUCGUAGAAUGGGCGCGGUCGUGAACCUGGAGCAGGCGAUUCGGGCAUUGGAUAUCGGGUUGCUCUGUACGUUGAACGAGAACAAAGGAAGGCCUACUAUGGAAGAAGUGGUGGAGUUCCUAAACAUGGAGAAACCGAUACCAGAGUUGCCAUCGGGUCGACCCGUUUGUUUGUUCCCGUACAGCAGCACCACAGGCUUAUGCAGCGGGUACGCUUGUACAACAUUCAAAUGAAGCCACGUGUCUUGUUGAUCAAAGCAGCCAAUUGGUUGUUCACGUUCCACGUAAGCGGCAAUCAUUCUUAUCUGUUAUGCUAAGAAAUAAUGACAGGGAAGCACAUGUAUAUGCUAUGUGACGUUAUUUUCAUGACAUAGACAACUAUUGCCUCGUCUGUGGUCGGAGUUUAAUAUCAGAACAACUCCUAUAAAAGAUUUGAAAUUAUUGU